Non-coding RNA from Ornithorhynchus anatinus (platypus), 138 nucleotides. NCBI's taxonomy places the organism in Eukaryota, Metazoa, Chordata, Mammalia, Monotremata, Ornithorhynchidae. The record is from Rfam.
CUCCUCUCAGGAUCACACCUGGAGAGUUUCCAGUACUCUACCACUCUCGACUACGGGAGGGAGAGUCAAGCAGAGGCCUACCCAUUCCAUUCCUAGCUUGGCCAGUGGCUAGCGAGCGGAAGGCAAUCGGCUACAAGU